CCUACGGGAGGCAGCAGUGAGGGAUAUUGGACAAUGGGCGCAAGCCUGAUCCAGCCAUGCCGCGUGCAGGAUGACGGUCCUAUGGAUUGUAAACUGCUUUUAUACGGGAAGAAACCCUGGCUCGUGAGCCAGAUUGACGGUACCGUAAGAAUAAGGAUCGGCUAACUCCGUGCCAGCAGCCGCGGUAAUACGGAGGAUCCAAGCGUUAUCCGGAAUCAUUGGGUUUAAAGGGUCCGUAGGCGGUUUAAUAAGUCAGUGGUGAAAGCCCAUCGCUCAACGGUGGAACGGCCAUUGAUACUGUUAGACUUGAAUUAUUAGGAAGUAACUAGAAUAUGUAGUGUAGCGGUGAAAUGCUUAGAGAUUACAUGGAAUACCAAUUGCGAAGGCAGGUUACUACUAAUUGAUUGACGCUGAUGGACGAAAGCGUGGGUAGCGAACAGGAUUAGAUACCCUGGUAGUCCACGCCGUAAACGAUGGAUACUAGCUGUUGGGAGUAAUCUCAGUGGCUAAGCGAAAGUGAUAAGUAUCCCACCUGGGGAGUACGUUCGCAAGAAUGAAACUCAAAAGUAGUAAAGUUACGGACCGGUCGUAGGAGACGUACGGACCGGAACGGACCGAACCGAACGGGAAGGGAGGGUUAGGG
This 643-nucleotide ribosomal RNA is filed under the name uncultured bacterium. RNAcentral's name for it is "bacterial SSU rRNA". It matches the Rfam family "Bacterial small subunit ribosomal RNA", at positions 338 to 1468 of the family's 1533-position model. The record is from RNAcentral.